This 253-nucleotide ribosomal RNA is filed under the name uncultured bacterium. RNAcentral's name for it is "partial 16S ribosomal RNA". It matches the Rfam family "Bacterial small subunit ribosomal RNA", at positions 524 to 776 of the family's 1533-position model. The record is from RNAcentral.
GACAGAGGGUGCAAACGUUGUUCGGAAUUACUGGGCGUAAAGCGCGUGUAGGCGGCCCUGCAAGUCGGAUGUGAAAUCCCUCGGCUCAACCGAGGAACUGCAUCCGAUACUGGCGGGCUUGAAUCCGGGAGAGGGAUGUGGAAUUCCAGGUGUAGCGGUGAAAUGCGUAGAUAUCUGGAGGAACACCGGUGGCGAAGGCGGCAUCCUGGACCGGUAUUGACGCUGAGGCGCGAAAGCUAGGGGAGCAAACGGG